This 253-nucleotide ribosomal RNA is filed under the name uncultured bacterium. Its description in RNAcentral is "partial 16S ribosomal RNA". It matches the Rfam family "Bacterial small subunit ribosomal RNA", at positions 524 to 776 of the family's 1533-position model. The record is from RNAcentral.
CACGUAGGGUGCGAGCGUUGUCCGGAUUUACUGGGCGUAAAGGGCGCGUAGGCGGCGUGACAAGUCACUUGUGAAAUCUCCGGGCUUAACUCGGAGCGGUCAAGUGAUACUGUCGUGCUAGAGUGCGGAAGGGGCUACUGGAAUUCUCGGUGUAGCGGUGAAAUGCGUAGAUAUCGAGAGGAACACCUGCGGCGAAGGCGGGUAGCUGGGCCGACACUGACGCUGAUGCGCGAAAGCCAGGGGAGCGAACGGG